CCUAGUUUUCACUGUUUUGGAUUAGCCCAACCCACACAGGGUGAGUGAGUCUCCCGCAGGUAAACGCGGAGCCCGGGACCGGGGACCGGGGACCGGCCCCGCGGACGGACUCAGCCCCGUGUGUGGAGGAGCUUCAGGACACAUUUAAAACACACACAGCUCUUGUCACGGCUGCUUUUUGGGGAAGAAUUAACAAACGGAAGCUGUUGAAAGUCGACAGGUGGCGCUGGUUUAUGAAAUAAUGUUGUUUUAGCAGCAGCUUUAGCAGGAUGAGCUAGCAUGCUGCUAACGGCUAGCUCGCGCUCGCUGUGCGGCUUCGUCGCCUUUGAUUUCAGGUUAAAGAAACAUGUUUAACUCUGAAUUAGCAGCAGCACACACACACACACACACACACGCUGUUGUUGUGAUCACGUGAUCUACAUGUAUCCAACACGCAGAGCCCACGUGAUCACAACAGCUGCUGGAGCAGAAUGGACUGUUUAUAUCCGAUAUAUUAUUGGUAAUAUCCAAUAUAAUCUGAGGCUCGUUUAUUGGCUGAUAUUGGACCGAUAUCUGGACACGAGGACAUCAGGGCAUCUCUAUUUGAAAUGAUGAUGAACGACUGACUAGGACACUGAUGGUUCUGAUAUCGGUAUGGUAUUGGACUCAAAAAGAAGCGAUACAGUGAUCUCACCGCGUCGCCCCCUCAUCCAACGCUCACGGCUGUGUAAACACCCCUGACCGUGAGAAAUGGUGCGUUCCAUUUGUAGUCGGCGUUCCUGAACUCGGAUUUCCAACUCGGAGCGACUUCACCAACAGAUUCCUAGAUUCCAAGAGUCAUCAUCGAACGCCUCGACCCUGACGGACACACGAGGAAAGCUGCUCCUCCCUCCUCAACUUAACUCCGCCUGCGACCGCGAAAAACACCACCACCCAGUUACCAAAGUACACCGCCAGGUGGCGCCUCCAGGCUGUGGCGUAAUUAGCAGACACCGGCUCCAAUCAGCAGCAUUGAUUUGCAGCUGCUCCUGGUUCGGCUCGUCUCGGC
Molecule: long non-coding RNA, 1027 nt
Organism: Solea solea (common sole)
Lineage: Eukaryota; Metazoa; Chordata; Actinopteri; Pleuronectiformes; Soleidae
Exons: 3
Source: RefSeq, a predicted model, not a curated record